Molecule: non-coding RNA, 68 nt
Organism: Apis mellifera (honey bee)
Lineage: Eukaryota; Metazoa; Arthropoda; Insecta; Hymenoptera; Apidae
Source: Rfam
UUAAUAUGAUGAUAAUUAUGACCAGUUCUGCUACUGAAAUCAUUUGAAGAUAUUCCAAUUUCUGAAAA